UUUCCGUUGGUGAACCUGCGGAAGGAUCAUUACAGUGUUCCCUGCCCUUCGGGGUAGGAUCGCCACCCUUGAUUAUUUAUGAGUGUUGCUUUGGCGGGCCUCGCGGCCUGGCCGCGCCCCGGCUUCGGCGGGGGAGCGCCCGCCAGAGGAUUCUACGAACCUGAUUAUUAGUGUCGUCUGAGUACUAUAUAAUAGUUAAAACUUUCAACAACGGAUCUCUUGGUUCUG
RNAcentral lists this unclassified non-coding RNA (228 nucleotides) under plant metagenome. RNAcentral describes it as "partial contains small subunit ribosomal RNA, internal transcribed spacer 1, and 5.8S ribosomal RNA". The record is from RNAcentral.